Molecule: long non-coding RNA, 264 nt
Filed under: Setaria viridis
Lineage: Eukaryota; Viridiplantae; Streptophyta; Magnoliopsida; Poales; Poaceae
Description: long non-coding RNA (SVIR_LNC008698)
Source: RNAcentral
CCAUUAUGGUGUGCAUGUUUUUUACGAUGGUCUGGCACUUGUUAGAAAUGCAUCCCUCUCUUUCUUAACGGGUGGUUAACAGGAAGAAAUCGACGAUAGCCCAUAUACACGACCUUCCUCUGUGUCGUCUAAACAGUAGGUGCUGGCUCGAUAUCUCUUGUUUGUCUGUCGUAAAAGGUUACCCAGCGUAGGCCAAUCAUUGAUGAUUACGAACAACAAUGCUUGUAGGUCAAAGCUCUCUUGUUUAUCCUCAUCCCACACACG